UGAGGAACAUGACUUUCGGCGGGGGAGUAGCCGGCCCAACGGCCGGGUAAUACCGCGUACGACCCAAUGGAGACAUCUCCGCUGGGUGAAAGCAGCAAUGCACCGAAAGAGUGCCUCGCGGCCUAUCAGCUAGUUGGUGGGGUAACGGCUCACCAAGGCGACGACGGGUAGCUGGUCUGAGAGGAUGGCCAGCCACAUUGGGACUGAGACACGGCCCAGACUCCUACGGGAGCAG
This 235-nucleotide ribosomal RNA is filed under the name uncultured bacterium. Its description in RNAcentral is "partial 16S ribosomal RNA". It matches the Rfam family "Bacterial small subunit ribosomal RNA", at positions 118 to 347 of the family's 1533-position model. The record is from RNAcentral.